CCUACGGGAGGCAGCAGUGAGGAAUAUUGGUCAAUGGGCGUACGCCUGAACCAGCCAAGUCGCGUGAAGGAAGACGGCCCUAUGGGUUGUAAACCUCUUUUGUCAGGGAGCAACACCGGCUACGUGUAGCCGGACUGAGAGUACCUGAAGAAAAAGCAUCGGCUAACUCCGUUCCAGAAGCCGCGGUAAUACGGAGGAUGCGAGUGUUAUCCGGAUUUAUUGGGUUUAAAGGGUGCGGAGGCGGAAUGCCAAGUCAGCGGGAAAAUCGCGGGGCUCAACCUCGCUCCGCAGUUGAAACUGGCGUUCUUGAGUGGGCGAGAAGUAGGCGGAAUGCGUGGUGUAGCGGUGAAAUGCAUAGAUAUCACGAAGAACUCCGAUUGCGAAGGCAGCAUACCGGCGCCCAACUGACGCUGAAGCACGAAAGUGUGGGUAUCGAACAGGAUUAGAUACCCCUGUAGUC
Molecule: ribosomal RNA, 460 nt
Filed under: uncultured bacterium
Lineage: Bacteria
Description: partial 16S ribosomal RNA
Rfam family: Bacterial small subunit ribosomal RNA
Source: RNAcentral